UCCACGCCCUAAACGAUGAAUGCUAGUCGUCGGGGAGCUAGUCUCUUCGGUGAUGCACUUAACAGAUUAAGCAUUCCGCCUGGGGAGUACGGUCGCAAGAUUAAAACUCAAAGGAAUAGACGGGGACCCGCACAAGUGGUGGAGCAUGUGGUUUAAUUCGAAAAUACGCGAAGAACCUUACCUAGCCUUGACAUUGAUUGAAUUUUCCAGAGAUGGAGAAGUGCCUUUCGGGGAACAUGAAAACAGGUGCUGCACGGCUGUCGUCAGCUCGUGUCGUGAGAUGUUGGGUUAAGUCCCG
Molecule: ribosomal RNA, 298 nt
Filed under: uncultured bacterium
Lineage: Bacteria
Description: partial 16S ribosomal RNA
Rfam family: Bacterial small subunit ribosomal RNA
Source: RNAcentral